This 7784-nucleotide long non-coding RNA is filed under the name Olea europaea subsp. europaea. The record is from RNAcentral. Lineage: Eukaryota; Viridiplantae; Streptophyta; Magnoliopsida; Lamiales; Oleaceae.
CCUCUAGUACCUUCGUCGGCCAUCGGAUUAAGGUGAAUUCCUUGCUCUGAUACCAAUUUUGGUGGGGAAACGUGUUUGAAUUCUUGUAAUAAGAAUUAUAAUGAAAGAAAUAUGAAACGAUAUAGGAAUAAUUUGCUUUAUUGAUUGAAUAAUGAAUAAUUGAUUGAAAAUUGUACAAUAGCUUCUAUUUUUAUAGGCAGAUUAUUCCUAUUCCUAACAAUACUAGGAAAUUGAAAUAAGGAAACUAGUGAACUAAUAAAACUUUAUUCUAAUUAAAACUCUCAAUAAAAUAAAAGUCCUAACACAAGAAAAGAAACUCUUAGAAAAUAUAAAAUAUAAUUGUAGUAGGAAUCCUAUUGUAGUUGUACUACAUCAGACCCCCACCGUCUAACGCACUUCCUGCUUUAGACAAUAAAGGUAAAGCUCCGAAAACUUCAAGAACCUCUUCUCGUUUGCAAUGCUUCAAUUGUAAGGGCUUUGGCCACAUCUCCUCUAGAUGUCCGAGCUGAGCCUUAGUUAUUGACGAGCGAAAAGAUGUCGUUGAUGAGCCUUUAGAAGAUCAAGUCUAUGAGUCUAACUUUGAAGAGUUUGACAAUUUGGGUGAUAAUGAGGAUACCUGCUCAGGUUGCUUUCAUACCCUUCAUGUAGGUCUAGGUCCUACUUAUCUGGCCCCCGACACAUCUCGGUUAAGUGUUGUACGUUGUACCCUUAUCCAACCUAAGGAUGUCGAUGAUUGGCGCCGUCAUGCUAUUUUUCAUACUUAUAUCAAGAUCAACAAUAAAGGUUGUAAGAUUAUUGUUGAUAGUGGGAGCUGUAUUAACACGGUCUCUGUGACCACAGUAUCCCGUCUUGGAUUGAAGUCAGUCCCGCACCCCCAAUCAUAUAGCGUCUCCUGGGUUGACACUUCUUCUAUAGCUGUGAAAGAGCAUUGUCUGGUGCCUAUCCAAUUUCUUGGGUAUAAGGAUCAUAUAUGGUGUGACGUUAUCCCUAUGGAUGUUGGGCAUGUCAUUCUUGGUCGACCUUGGUUGUUCGAUCUGGAUGUAACUAUCCAUGGGCGAUCAAAUUCAUGUUCUUUUGUAUUUAAUGGAAAGAAGAUUCACCUUAAUCCUUUAUCACCAAAAUCUGUUGACUUACACCAAGCCAAAAAAAUUGUCGAGAGGAAAGGAUUACAUGUGAUUAGCCCGGCAGAAAUUGAACGGACAAUCGUAAAUGACUCAAUCGUAUUUGCUGUGAUUGUUAUGAAAGUCCCGUUCGAUCCCCCAAUAGCAACCCCUACUGAAGCCCAUUCACUCCUUCAGGAAUUUAAGGAUGUAUUUCCUGACGACCUCCCUGAUCUACUGCCUACCUUACGGGAUAUUCAACAUGCUAUAGAUCUGGUUCCAGGUUCGUCUCUCCCAAACUUGCCUCACUAUAGAAUGAAUCCUGCUGAACAUGCCGAGCUCUAGAGAUAAGUGGGUGAACUCUUUCACAAAGGCUUCAUUUGUGAAAGUUUAAGCCCUGGUGCAGUGCCCGCCCUCAUGACACCUAAGAAGAAUGGUUCUUGGAAGAUGUGCGUUGAUAGUCGCGCUAUCAAUAAAAUCACUGUCAAGUAUCGUUUUCCCAUCCCUCGACUUGAUGAUAUGCUAGAUAUGAUGGCCGAUGCCACAAUCUUUUCCAAAAUCGAUUUGAAGAGUGGGUGUCAUCAGAUUUGGAUCCGCCCAGGAGACGAGUGGAAAACUGCAUUUAAAACGAAAGAUGGCCUAUACGAGUGGUUGGUAAUGCCUUUUGGACUAACCAAUGCUCCAAAUACUUUUAUGAGGGUGAUGACACAGGCCCUUCGGCCUUUCAUGGGCAAAUUCAUUGUCGUAUACUUUGAAGACAUCCUCGUGUACAGCAAAACAAGGGAACAAUAUCGAGAUCAUCUCACGCAAGUUUGCUCUACAUUGCGUGCAACAAGCUUGUAUGCCAAUGUGAAGAAAUGUUCUUUCUUCACGGAUACAAUUGUGUUUCUCGGAUUUGUUGUUUCCGCUACGGGAGUAUCUGUUGAUCCUGCAAAGAUUCGGGCAAUUGUUGAGUGGCCAGAUCGCAAGAAUAUACAUGAUAUUAGGAGUUUUCAUGGUUUAGCUACCUUUUAUCGUCGUUUCAUCAAGAGAUUUAGUACGAUCCUGGCUCCUAUCACAAAGUGUAUGAAGAGAGGAGAAUUUCAUUGGACGCAGGAAGCGGUUAAGGCCUUUCAGUUAAUCAAAAGGCAAAUGACAGAGGCUCUUGUCAUGCGACUCCCAGAUUUUUCCAAAGUUUUUGAGGUCAAAUGUGAUGCGACAAGGGUAGGAAUAGGUGGAGUCUUGAGUCAAGAACGCCAUCCUAUUGCUUAUUGUAGUGAGAAAUUAAAUGAUGCCAAGCAACGGUACUCGACUUAUGAUAAGGAGUUAUACGCAGUUGUACAAGCCUUGCGCUAUUGGCGUCAUUACUUAUUACCCCACGAAUUUGUCCUCUUUUCUAACUAUGAGGCUCUUCGUUUCCUUAAUUCCCAGAGACGAUUGAAUUCUCGGCAUGGCCGCUGGAUCGAAUAUUUACAAGCCUAUUCUUUUGUCUUAAAGCAUAAGAAGGGUGUUGAAAAUCAAGCUGCUGACGCUUUAAGCCGUCGCAUCUCCUUCUUGUCCGUCAUGAGUGUUAAGGUUCUAGGGUUUGAAAGACUUAAGGAAGAGUACGAGUUAUGUCCCGAUUUCAGGGACAUUUUUCUUGCUUUGCAUAAUGGGGAGUUGGACACCACUGAUGGUUUCCGUUUAGAGGAGGGCUAUCUUUUUAGAUCCAAUAAGUUGUGCAUCCCCAGGAUUUCAGUGCGAGACUUUAUAGUGUGGGAAAGUCAUGCUGAUGGGUUGGCUGGACAUUUUGGGCGUGAUAAGACCAUAGAGGAAAUUGAACAUCAAUUAUAUUGGCUCAGUUUAAAGACUGACGUGGCCAAGAUUGUUGGCACAUGUAACACCUGUCAACGAUCUAAGCACAAAAGGCAGAACACAAGCCUCUACACUCCUCUCCCCGUCCCUAGUUGUCCUUGGUAAGACGUUAGUAUGGAUUUCGUGCUAGGGUUGCCACGUACUCUAAAGAAACACGACUCCAUUUUUGUUGUCGUAGAUCCCUUCUCAAAAAUGGCACACUUUAUUUCCUGUAGCAAGACUUCCGAUGCAUCUAAGGUUGCUAAGUUAUACUUCCAUGAGAUCGUCAAGCUGUAUGGCCUCCCUAAGACCAUUGUCUCUGAUAGGGAUGUUCGUUUCACUAGCCAUUUUUGGCGAACCCUAUGGAGUAUGGUUGGCACUAAACUAAAAUUCUCUACUGCAUAUCACCCACAAACGGACGGUCAAACUGAGGUUGUUAACCGCAGUCUUGGUAAUCUAUUAAGAUGUUUAGUCCAGGAAAAUCUUAGGAAUUGGGACUUAAUUUUUCCUACUGCCCAACUUGCAUAUAACAGUUCAGUGAAUUGAUCUAUAGGUAUGAGUCCUUUUGAGAUUGUUCAUGGUUUUAAGUCUAGGAAGCUGUUAGACCUUAUUCCUAUGUCUCCACAUGCUAGUGUGUCUGUGUCAGUUGAGUCUUUUGCACAACAUCUGCGUGACUUGCAUAUUGAGAUCAAUAAACAGCUAGAAGCGAGUAAUGCAUUAUAUAAACUUCGAGCUGAUUUGCACAAACGCCAUGUUGAAUUUAAUGUUGGGGAUUAUGUUAUGAUUCGAAUUAGACCGGAACGGCGUCCAUCUGGGCCUGCUUCUAAAUUGCAAACUCAUAGUGCUGGUCCUUUUAAAAAUUUAAAGCGUGUUGGCCCAAAUGCUUAUGUCAUUGACUUACCAUCACAUUUUGGCUACCACCCUACCUUUAAUGUUAAAGACUUAGUUGCUUACAAAGGUCAAUUUCACCCCGCUGAUGAUCCUUUCACACCUCCAUCUCUGGACCCUCAUCCUGAACAUGUUAUUCCUGCCCCAAUUCCACCUGCUGCAGCACAUAAAGAUAAAAUUGAUGCUAUUCUAGAUGCACAGACUAUAUUAACCAAGGAUAGAGACAUUCAGCGCUUCCUUGUUCGUUGAGAGGGCCGUCCUGAUUCUGAUUGUACUUGGAUCCCCAAAGAGACACUUCAACAGCUUGAUCCUGACUUGUUGGAGAAUUAUAGGAGUCAACAAGAUCUUCCUCUACCCGGACCACCAUCUUUGCGUGUCUAUAGAUGUCGAAAGAAGUUUGCUCAACCGAUCAGUUUGUGGCUAGGAGAUUGACAGCAGCCUUUUGUGACCUACCUCCUCGACGAGGUCGAGUUUUUCUCCCACCCCGGGAGAGUUGAUGCGGACAUCAUCCUCAUUUUAUCUUUUAGUUAUUUAUUUUGGGCUUAUGUCUUUUACUUAUUUAUUUCGGGCCUAUGUCUCAUUGGGCUUGUAUAUGGGUUUGGUCCAAGCCCCCAAGUUAUUGUUUUGUUAUUUAUGUUAUUGUAAUUGGGAUCGAAAGUUAGCAGAUGAUGAAUGAAUGAAUUGUUGCCUUCCACUCCUCUGUCUUCUCUCUCCCCCCUCUUUCUUCUCUCACGUUUUCCCUUCUCUUUCCCCGGCUUCUUCCUCUUCUGCUUUUCUCUUCUUCUGCUGUUUCUUCCUACAUCACUAAAACUUGAAAUGGAAGGUGAUAACUUGUUGUACUGUAGAGAUGUAGCUAUAUCAUAAGGAGUACUAACCUUAUUUGAACCACCUGAACACAUGGAUUGAGGAUGAGCUGAGCAAGAAAGGAGAUUGCAAUGAUACUAUUCAAGGUAACUAGAAGUGUUCCUGACUUUAGACCUGCGAGGUAUAGGUGUAGAAGAGGGCCCAUUUGAAGUAGAAAUGGAAGUAUCCAAUUCUUGAGAGGGAAGAGGUUUAGGAAAAACGAAAGGAUUGUCAUAAGAAACGGAAGAUAAAUCUUUAUAAGGGAAGAUGUGUUCAUGAAAAACUACAUCUCGAGAUAUGAAAGAGGUAUGAAGAUCAAGAUCAUAAAGUUUAUAUCCCUUGACACCAUAAGGAUAUCCAAGAAAUAUACACCUACAAGCUCGAGGAGCAAAUUUUGAACGAUUGUGAGAGAGGGUAGAGGCAAAACAUAAGCUACCAAAGACUCUAAGAUGAGCAUUAAUAGGAGGUUUGGCAUAAAGGAUCUCAAAAGGAGACUUGUGUUGCAACAAGGGAGUUGGUAAACGAUUAAUCAAAUAUGCUGCAGUUAAGACAGCUUCUCCCCAAAAUUGAAGGGGUAACUUGGCUUGAAACAUCGAGCAGGUGCUGAUGUUUGCGUUCGACUACACUGUUUUGUUUAGGUGUAGCAACACAACUCUUUUGUUAAAUAAUUCCUUUUUCAGCACAAAAAUCUUGCAUAUCAAGGUUGGGAGCAUUAUCAGUGCAAAAUUGUUUUAUUUUAACUUGGAAUUGUGUUUCAACGAGAUUAUAGAACCAUUGAAUGUAUGAUCUUGAUUCAGAUUUAUAGUGCAAAAGAUAUAUCCAUGUGGAUCUAGAGAAGUCAUCCACUAAGGUGAGAAAAUACUAUGCACCAUUUAAAGAAGGAUGAGCAAAAGGCCCCCAUACAUCACAAGUACUAACUGAAACACGUGUGUAGAAAAUGUAUCACUAACAAAGAAAGGAUGCCUAUUUUGUUUAGCCAUUGGACAAAUAGUACAAAGGAAUUCUUUAGGACUAGAGAUUACUUUAGAAUUGGAGUUAACAAGACUUUUUAAACAAGUAGGAGACAAGUGACCUAGGCGAAAAUGCCAAAGAUUAAAACAACUUGAAUUUGCAGAGGAAGUAGCACAUGUAGGAGACUGUAGGAAACCUUGACAGAUGAUACAAUCCUCAUUUUUCUUCACCAAUACCAAUCGUCGUCCAUGAGAUAAGGUCCUGAAUAAAGCAGUAACGAGAUAGAAAAAUUAAGCAACUAUUAGAACUAUGUGUGAGUUUACUGGCUGAUAGCAAGUUGAAAGAAAAGGAAGGAACACACAGGACAUUUGUUAAACGAAGUUUAUUUGAAAUGAGAAUAGUGCCAAUAUGAGUAACUCGUACAGAAGCACCAGUAGGCAAUUGAGCAAAAGAAUUUACUUUAGCUGUUAUAGUGUUGAGAAGAGAAGUUGAACACACCAUGUGGUCUGUUGCUCCCGUAUCAAUAAUCCAGGGAGCAUUCGAAAAAGAAGUAGGAGUAGAAGAAAAUGAUGGGCAAUGAUUUAUACAUGUCAUAUUGCAUAAUUUGAAUUGAGGCUGAAAUAAUGGGGUGAGGUUAUCACACUUACUGACCAAAGAAGCGUCAACGGGUGGAGCAUUGAUUGGUUUAAGUAAAUUGAGGAGCUGAUUGUAUUGUUCUUGAGUGAGUGGCAUUGAAGAAAGAUUCUGCUCGCUGGAAGAUGCCAUUGAAUGAACUUGGCUUGAAGAAUUAAUUCCUUUACUCUUGCCUGAUUUAAAACCCUAGAGGAAAACCAAUAAUUCUGAAGCACUUGUCAGUCGUGUGGGACGUAUAACCACUUUCAGCACAAUAUAAUUUUCCUUUUCGAGGGCCAGAUGGCUGCUUGAAUGAACCAGAUGAAUAUUGAGGCAGAGAAGGACCAGGUGCUGUCUUGCUAGCCAUAGCAGCAGAGUCAAACUGAGGAGUAUAAUGACCAAUAUGUAUUUGAGUUUCCUCUUGUAAAAUCAAAGAGAAAACUUUGUUGAGAGAAGGCGAGGGAUCAGAUAACAGUAUUUACCUCUUAAUGCAGCAAAAAUCUCAUUCAGUCCCAUAAGAAAGUGCAGAACGUAAUCUUGAAGAUGAUAAUCCAGUAGAGUUUUAACACCAGGACUGGAAUCAUUAGGUAAAGGACGAUAAUUGAAAUAUUGAUCCCACAAGGUUUUGAACUUGGUGAAAUAAUUAGUCACUGAUGACGAACCUUGAGUAAGAGCGCAGAUCGACCUUUUCAAUUGAAAGAUGUGGGGAGCAUUUCCUUAACUAAAUCUCUCUUCCAUUUCUUUCCACAGGUCAGAUGUAGUAGCAAUAUAAGGAACACUAGCAGCAAUAUCUUUAUUCAAGGAGUUUUAAGAUCCAAGAGCAAACCAUGUCAUUACAACGAAUCCAUGCUUGAUAAGAAGGAUCAGUUGUAGAUGGCUUUGGGAGAUUUCCAUUGAUAAAGCCAAGCUUGUUCUUAGCAGAGAUGGCCAUGGACAUUGAUCUCUUCCAAGGAAAGAAAUUGGAUCCGUUAAGAACUUAAGAAACCCAUACAGUACCAGGACUGUCAUUGUUUGCUAAGAACAAAGGAUUAGAAGAAUCUUCAGCAGCCAUAAUCACAAUCAGCAAAGGAACUAAUAUAGAACGCAGUAGAAGACAUAAAAUUGCUUUGAUACCAUAUCAAAAAAGGAGCUAGAAAAAGGUAAAAGAAUGGGAAAAUCCGGAGAGAAUCAGACUCUCUUUUCUUUUGUAUUCUGUAAAGAACUGAUUAAUGUUGUACAUUGAUUCUAUUUAUAGAAUUAGCUAUCAAAUUGCCAGCUACAACUAACUGCAUUCGAACUGCUAACUAACAGCUGUAACUAUUUAUUCCAGCUCAUCUUUUCUAACUUCAACUGCCUGUAACUGCAGCUUCAACUUUAGUUUUCGUUUCAGCUUCAGCCACCGGUUUUGCUUCAACAAGUUGUUGGGUUGUAACACUGUGUUUCUUUUCAUCUUUUGAUUCAAUUCAGCUUGUGAGCACAUUUAAUCAUGGAACUUUGCACUCAUCAUCUGCGUCUGGUUUUAUGUCCAUUUGUAAGCAAAACUUCUAACCUUUGAAAUGCCUGGUUGGACGUUUUCUUUAUCUUUCCUUUCCUUGUACA